This 514-nucleotide long non-coding RNA is filed under the name Nicotiana benthamiana. Its description in RNAcentral is "long non-coding RNA (NBEN_LNC003598)". The record is from RNAcentral. Lineage: Eukaryota; Viridiplantae; Streptophyta; Magnoliopsida; Solanales; Solanaceae.
GAUGCUUUUGAUGAAUUAUACGGCGAAUUUAUUAGCGCUUCUAAAACUAUUAAGGAUUUGAAGAAACAGCUUUCUCUAAAGGAAAAGGAUUUAGAAAAAUUGAGCCUAGAUAAUAUAAAAUUAAAAGAAGAAAAUAAAGUUUUUGGCAAAAGAAGCGCCGACAAACCCGAAGGCUCAAACAAAGGUUGCACGUCUUGUAAAUCCCUCAAACUUGAAGAAAUAGCUUUCUCUAAAGGAAAAGGAUUUGGAAAAAUUGAGCCUGGAUAAUAUAAAAUUAAAAGAAGAAAAUAAAUUUUUUGGCAAAAGAAGCGCCGACAAACCCGAAGGCUGAAACAAAGGUUGCACGUCUUGUAAAUCCCUCAAAGAUCAAGUAGAAAAUCUUAAGGGUACUUUGAACAAAUUCAAUUCCUCUCAUAAAAACCUCAAUAAAGUUCUUGACAAUUUGAAAUCCACUAAACAUGGUAUAGGUUUCGAAAAUAACAUUAAUAUGAAUGAAAAAGUUGAAGAAAAUCCU